Molecule: ribosomal RNA, 269 nt
Filed under: uncultured prokaryote
Description: partial 16S ribosomal RNA
Rfam family: Bacterial small subunit ribosomal RNA
Source: RNAcentral
UACGGAGGGUGCAAGCGUUGUUCGGAAUCACUGGGCGUAAAGGGCGCGCAGGCGGCCUGAUUAGUCAGAUGUGAAAGCCCACGGCUUAACUGUGGAAGUGCAUUUGAAACUGUCAGGCUUGAGUACCAGAGGGGAAAGUGGAAUUCCAGGUGUAGAGGUGAAAUUCGUAGAUAUCGGGAGGAAUACCGGUGGCGAAGGCGACUUUCUGGCUGGAUACUGACGCUGAGGCGCGAAAGCGUGGGGAGCAAACAGGAUUAGAUACCCCCGUA